GCCGAUAUAGUAUAGUGGCAAUACAGGUCCUUGGUAAGGAUCAGCGGCAAGUUCAAUUCUUGCUAUCGGCA
Molecule: transfer RNA, 71 nt
Filed under: Mycoplasma sp. CAG:877
Lineage: Bacteria; Bacillati; Mycoplasmatota; Mollicutes; Mycoplasmatales; Mycoplasmataceae
Rfam family: tRNA
About the family: Transfer RNA (tRNA) molecules are approximately 80 nucleotides in length. Their secondary structure includes four short double-helical elements and three loops (D, anti-codon, and T loops).
Source: Rfam by way of RNAcentral